Molecule: long non-coding RNA, 4143 nt
Organism: Choloepus didactylus (southern two-toed sloth)
Lineage: Eukaryota; Metazoa; Chordata; Mammalia; Pilosa; Megalonychidae
Exons: 3
Source: RefSeq, a predicted model, not a curated record
GCUGUGAAACAUCUCUGAGCAAACUGCUUUGUGUGCGGUAGCUCUUAGGAUGGCCUCAGAUCUUGCAGCAGCGCUUGCACUUCUAUGAAGAAACUCAGGCUCAGAUGGACCAAGUCACUUCAAAAUCAUAGUUCAGAGCAGAAGACCUACGUCUCAAAUUCAGACGGGAAAUAAAGGAAGCACAUUGAACAAAGUGCACAAAUUCAACAUCUGGCAAUGCAUUAUGGAGAGGACCCAUGAUACAUUUUCUUCAGUUUCUCUGAAGGAAAAACAAACAAACAAACUGAAGAAUUGAUGAAACAUACUCUAAGACAAUACAUUCCUCUAAAAAUCUGAGUAUAAUUCACUGGCUGAGAGGCAUGUAUCGAAAUAUCAAUGUACUUGCUGUUAAUUUUUUUUUUCUCUUUUAAAACUAAUAUGACAUAGAAAUAGAGAAUAUAUUCAAGAAAUGGCUGUAGUUUUUGAUUGAAAACACAAUUUUCCAUCUAAGUAUUGGUACCUGCUCACCUUCUUUAUCUCAAUUAGUAGCAAUCUCUUCCUAUAUAAUGAUUCCUUGCCUGCCUGGUUUCCAUGGUCCAUUGACAGCUCCAGCUACUACCAUCUUCCUAAUAUACCAACUUCUGGAAUGUAUUUAUUUCCCUGGCCUGAUUAUGUUAUUGCCUUCAGUAUUCUUCCUGCCUUAUAGAUGUAGCCUCUUUGGGGGGGGGGGUAUCCAAAAAUAGUCUUGUCAUAACUCAGUGAGUUCCUUCUCUUUGUCACUUCUAAAUGAUAGAGCCAUUACAAGGUGCCAUGUCCACCCAUCCAUUUGGAAUUAGGAAUAAAUACAGAAGAGUUCAAUUCAAUCCAGCAAACAAUUAUGGUGUGUAUGUUCUGUGCAUGAACUCUGGUAAGUGCUGGAGAGCAAAAGUGAAGGAGCAGUCUGCUGCCUCCAGGAGCUAAUGGUCUCAUGCCCAGUCUCCUAUUAUCCCUUUACACUAUUCUAUCCACUUUGCUUAUUUCCCUCUUGUUCAUGAUCUUUGCAAGUUUCCUUUCCUCUCCUACCUCCUUGGCUUGCUUCACUCUUUUUAUUACUUUGUUCCCUUAUCCUGUUAGUAACUUUCUUUUUAGCCAUAGCCAACUCCCCUGCUCCAAGUGCUUAGGAAUAGGACUUGGAAGGCAACUCUCCAGAAAAGCUUUCUGGAAGUUAGAGUAGUUGUCAAUAUCUAACUAUACAUAUUUUCCUAAAUCACUAGAUCAUAAGGAACAAGAAAACGGAGAUCCCAUUAUAUUAUCUAAAGUGUUAAUUUGGGGGCAACAGGGAUACCUUAGUUUCUUGAUUAAUUUUGAAUUUAUUUUAUUCUAAUAUAUUUUCUUAACCAUUUGAAAAGGUCACAUGGUGGUCAAAUUUGAAAAAAGUUUGGGGGGAAAAUCCAGUGGUUUAUGGCAGAGUCUUGGGUCUUAAGAAUUAUUUAGGAAGAAGUAUUAGAAUUGAGCCUUAGAAAAACCACAGAACACUCAUAUUGGUGCCUAAAUAAGAAAAAUAGAGAUUGUUCUUUCACAUAUCUCCACCAACAGCAAAAACAUAUAUAGAUUUAUCUCCAAGAAUAUUGGAAUAUCAGAUCUGUGAAAAGAAAAUAAAGAACAUGGAAAUGUUUCAAAACUAAAAUAUUUAUCUAGAUCAUUCAAAUUAUUGAAGACAGAAUAAUUGUAUUUCUCAAAAACAUGCAUACCCUGACCUGGUUACCUCAGGAAACUCCCUCUUUCCCUUUCUUCUCCCUACUCCUCUUUCCCUAUCUGAAGUUCAUGUAUGAGCCCUCACCCCACCUAAAUUGCUCCCGCUAUACUUCCCAGAAACUAUAAAAAUUGAACUCUGACAUGAAGAAACCACUUUUAACAUUUCUGAAAGUACCUUAAAUUCACUCUCUAUCUCUUCUAAUUAAUUUUUUUUCCAAACAAAGAAAAAAUGAAUAGCACAUUUAGCUGAAUUGCAGUUUUUUGUUUUCCCUCUUAUUUUGCUGCAAUACUAUUUUUUCUAUUGUUCAUUUUAAAGCAUGCAGUAUUUCAACUACAUUUUAUGAUAUGAUUUUUAAGCUUUACUGUUUAUAGCAAUGUUUUAUGGUAGGUUCUAGAACUAAAAAUUGACUUGCUACAACGUAGCCUAUUUUAAGCUGAAAAUGUUUAAAAUAGCACAGAUUUUUACAUGUGGUUCUUCUACCUAGCAUCACUGAUUUAUAGUUUUACUAUAAAGGAGAGGGUCUUUUUAAAUUUAGAGUUCAUGUAAGCCAUUUCAUAUCCAACAUAUGAAGGACAUAGUUAUUGAUAGUCUAGCCUGUAAAUCAAGUCUGAUUAGUCCAUGUUAAUUGAUUGGAUCAAACAAUUACUAUGUCAAGCAACUGGUUCAGUUCUUUUGGUCACUAAAUUACAAAUUUGAUUAACUGUUUGCUUCCUGAUUGGACAGCAGCUAGCCUCCUACAUUUCAAUCAGAUUGGUUACACUGGUUAUAUCAUACUUUUAUAAUGCUAUAUCCUGAUAACUCAUUCACUAUGACUCUUUGCCCUCUAGCAUUUUUUUCAGGGUAUCCUUUACUUCUGUGUUCCUCAGACUGUAGAUCAGGGGGUUCAGCAUGGGAAUUACAAGACUAUAAAACACAGAGACCACUUUGUUGUAUUUCCAAGAAGUCUCUGUUUUAGGUUGUCGUAGGUAAAUGAAAAACAGUGUUCCAUAGAAGAUGAUGACCACAGUGAGGUGGGAGGCACAGGUGGAGAAUGCUUUGCAUUUGCCUUCUGAAGACUGGAUUUUUAUAAUGGAAAAGAGGAUGCAAAUAUAGGAGAUAAGGACAGUCAAGAGUGAUCCAGUGAGAUUCACUGCAGAGAAGACCAAGAGCUGCUUUUCUUUGUUGUGGAUGUCAGAGCAGGAGAGGGCAAGUAGAGGAGGGUCAGCACAGUAAAAGUGGUGGAUGAUGUUGGAGUUGCAGAAAGACAAUUGGAAAGUGAGAACUGUCUGUAUCACGGAGUUCAGGAAGCCAUAGAUAUAGACCCCUAUCACCAAUUCCUUGCAGACCCUCUGAAUCAUAAUGGCUGUGUAAAUCAGGGGAUUGCAGAUAGCCAUGUAGCGGUCAUAGGCCAUUGUGGCCAAGAGGAAGCAUUCAGUAGUGGCAAAAGCACUGGAGAAAUAGAGCUGAGCAAAACAGCCAGAAAAGGAGAUGGUUUUCUUCUUCACCAACAAAUUUUGCAGCAUCUUGGGCCCAAUGGAAGAGGAGUAACAAAGAUCAAUGAAUGCCAGGUGACUGAGGAAAUAGUACAUAGGGGUGUGGAGCCGCGAAUCCACCUUGAUGAGCAGGAUCAUGCCAAGGUUUCCCACCAGGGUGAUGAGAUAAAUUACUAGGAACAUCACAAAGAGGGGGAGCUGAAGCUCAGGACAAUCUGUGAAUCCCAUGAGGACAAAUUCUGUUACCGUGGUACGAUUUCCUCUUACCAUUUUCUUCUCUUCUCUGUUGUAAACAGAAGAAAUAUGCCUUAAAAUGAGUAGAUACUUUAAAGAAACUUCUUACUUUUUUAUUCCAAUCCCAGAUAACAAAACUUUGGCUUUGAAUCCCCAGUGGUUCAAGUCUGUCAUUAGACAUGAGGAUUCAUUCUGCUAAAACAGACUCAGAAAAGCCUGAGCUUAUUUCUCUUUUGGAGCAGGGGAUAUGAUAUUGUUUUCCUAGGACAGGCCCCAUUUUCAUGUUCACAGUGGAGAUGUUUUCAAUUAAUUCAACAAUCAUUUCUGACCCCGACUAAGGGCCAGAUAGUGCCUGGAAGCUGGGAUACAGGGAUAUGUCCAGCAUUGUCCUUGUUACCAGUAAGUCUAGAGGAAGAGCUGGUCACUCACAAAGGGGAAGUGAUCCCCAGAGGAAAGGAUCUAAGGAUUAUAAGAUAUGUAUAGAGUGUGGUUGGGGAUCAUAGGAGGGAGAUACUGAAUACGGAUGGUGAAAACGAAAAACUUCAUUCAUGUUAUUGAGUACCUGUAACAUGCCAGAUGCUAUGCUAAAUGAGAGUGCUACAAAGAUAAGUAAAACAUAUCUCUGCCUUCACUGAGCUCACAGGCUGAUACGAGAAACAGAUCUGUAAAUAAUUAGUUACAAUUAAGAGUGGGUAGUGUUAGGAAAGGGGAGGAAUCCUCUAA